This 252-nucleotide long non-coding RNA is filed under the name Elaeis guineensis (African oil palm). RNAcentral's name for it is "long non-coding RNA (EGUI_LNC063969)". The record is from RNAcentral. Lineage: Eukaryota; Viridiplantae; Streptophyta; Magnoliopsida; Arecales; Arecaceae.
CCAUCUAGAAAUGAUUUUCGACAUCCGAAUAAGUCAAAUAUUUGCAAGGCAACAUUCAAGAAUCAUGGAGUAUGGUUACCGCAUAAUUCAUCUCUUUGACUUUGAAUGCUUAGGAUGACCUAGAGUUUAACUAUCAAUCCUAGAUUAGUUAUCCACAUUAUAUUUCAAUCUUUUUCAAAUCCUGUGACUAUCACAUAGAUUUCCCCAUCGAGAUCUUACUCAAUUAAAAUAUAUUGAUGCAUCAACUCCUGA